UCGACAUCUCUUAAUUCUGUUGCUCUCUAGGGCAGCUAAGCAAUCAAUUUGAGCUUAAACAAAUAAAUGUUUAUUGAGCAAGCUGAAUUCUUAUAGAGAGUCAUGGACCCUUGAAGGAAGAAAACAUCGAAGGAGGAAAGAGAAGGCUUUGACAUAAAUUGAGAGGAACAAGGAGAAAGAGGUUCGUUGCUCUGGAAACCAAGGAAGAAUCAAAGAGGAGAAUGGAAGAUGUCACAUAUCUAAGAAUUCUUUAUUGGAUUGGGCAAUUGAGGAUUCACAGAUGAUCAGAGGAGCCAGAGACAAAUCAGAGUGGUCAGUCUCUGCCUACCAAAUUCAGAAUCUCUUGACAGGGUUCUGGUUUGGGUAUGACUACAUUAGUAGCUA
Molecule: long non-coding RNA, 384 nt
Filed under: Homo sapiens (human)
Lineage: Eukaryota; Metazoa; Chordata; Mammalia; Primates; Hominidae
Description: non-protein coding lnc-TBC1D7-5:2
Source: RNAcentral